GAUGAACGCUGGCGGCGUGCCUAAUACAUGCAAGUCGAGCGAACGGACGAGAAGCUUGCUUCUCUGAUGUUAGCGGCGGACGGGUGAGUAACACGUGGAUAACCUACCUAUAAGACUGGGAUAACUUCGGGAAACCGUAGCUAAUACCGGAUAAUAUUUUGAACCGCAUGGUUCAAAAGUGAAAGACGGUCUUGCUGUCACUUAUAGAUGUAUCCGCGCUGCAUUAGCUAGUUGGUAAGGUAACGGCUUACCAAGGCAACGAUGCAUAGCCGACCUGAGAGGGUGAUCGGCCACACUGGAACUGAGACACGGUCCAGACUCCUACGGGAGGCAGCAGUAGGGAAUCUUCCGCAAUGGGCGAAAGCCUGACGGAGCAACGCCGCGUGAGUGAUGAAGGUCUUCGGAUCGUAAAACUCUGUUAUUAGGGAAGAACAUAUGUGUAAGUAACUGUGCACAUCUUGACGGUACCUAAUCAGAAAGCCACGGCUAACUACGU
Molecule: ribosomal RNA, 496 nt
Filed under: uncultured bacterium
Lineage: Bacteria
Description: partial 16S ribosomal RNA
Rfam family: Bacterial small subunit ribosomal RNA
Source: RNAcentral